GACGCUUGCUGCAUGCUUUAUACAUGCAAGUCGAACGGAGGCCCUAGCUUGCUAGGUGUCCUUAGUGGCGCACGGGUGAGUAACACGUGGGAACAUACCUCAUAGUACGGAAUAACUGCGGGAAACUGUAGCUAAUACCGUAUAUUCCAGAAAUGGGAAAGAUUUAUCGCUAUGAGAUUGGCCCGCGCAAGAUUAGCUUGUUGGUGAGGUAAUGGCUCACCAAGGCUCCGAUCUUUAGCUGGUUUGAGAGGACGAUCAGCCACACUGGGACUGAGACACGGCCCAGACUCCUACGGGAGGCAGCAGUAGGGAAUAUUGGACAAUGGGGGAAACCCUGAUCCAGCAAUGCAGCGUGAGUGACGAAGGCCUUAGGGUUGUAAAACUCUUUCAUCGGUGAGGAUAAUGACAGUAGCCGAAGAAGAAGGACCGGCUAAUUCCGUGCCAGCAGCCGCGGUAAUACGGAAGGUCCUAGCGUUGUUCGGAAUUACUGGGCGUAAAGCGCAUGUAGGCGGAACAAAAAGUUAGAAGUGAAAUCCCUGGGCUCAACUUAGGAAUUGCUUUUAAAACUUUUGUUCUGGAAUUCAGGAGAGGAAAAUGGAAUUUCCAGUGUAGAGGUGAAAUUCGUAGAUAUUGGAAGGAACACCAGUGGCGAAGGCGAUUUUCUGGACUGAUAUUGACGCUGAGAUGCGAAGGCAUGGGUAGCAAACGGGAUUAGAUACCCCGGUAGUCCAUGCAGUAAACGAUGGGUGCUAGUCGUCGGACUUUUGUUCGGUGUCGUAGCUAACGCGUUAAGCACCCCGCCUGGGGAG
Molecule: ribosomal RNA, 809 nt
Filed under: uncultured Alphaproteobacteria bacterium
Lineage: Bacteria; Pseudomonadati; Pseudomonadota; Alphaproteobacteria
Description: bacterial SSU rRNA
Rfam family: Bacterial small subunit ribosomal RNA
Source: RNAcentral